Molecule: unclassified non-coding RNA, 276 nt
Filed under: uncultured fungus
Lineage: Eukaryota; Fungi
Description: partial contains 5.8S ribosomal RNA, internal transcribed spacer 2, and large subunit ribosomal RNA
Source: RNAcentral
AACGCACAUUGCGCUCCCUGGUAUUCCUAGGAGCAUGUCUGUCUGAGCGUCAGUACACACCCUCUGGUCGCCCCUUUUGUCGGGCGGCGACCGGGUCCUGAGGGGAGCGUCUUCUCGCACCCUCUAAAGUGGAAAGCCAGCGGCCCGCCUGCCCUCGAAAGACGUAGUAACUCGAAAGACCUCGUCCGCGAAAGGGUUCGAAGGUGCAGGGCUCGCCUCGAAGCCAACUACCUAAGGCUUGACCUCAGAUCAGACAAGAGUACCCGCUGAACUUAA